UACGAAGGGUGCAAGCGUUACUCGGAAUUACUGGGCGUAAAGCGUGCGUAGGUGGUUUGUUAAGUCUGAUGUGAAAGCCCUGGGCUCAACCUGGGAAUUGCAUUGGAUACUGGCAGGCUAGAGUGCGGUAGAGGGGGAUGGAAUUCCGCGUGUAGCAGUGAAAUGCGUAGAUAUGCGGAGGAACACCGGUGGCGAAGGCGGCCCGCUGGGCAGUGGCUGACGCUGAGGCGCGACAGCGUGGGGAGCAAACAGG
Molecule: ribosomal RNA, 253 nt
Filed under: uncultured bacterium
Lineage: Bacteria
Description: partial 16S ribosomal RNA
Rfam family: Bacterial small subunit ribosomal RNA
Source: RNAcentral